AUACCGCCAUAAUGGGACAUGCCUGACCUUCUUAGAACUGUUGUUCUUGAAGACGAGGAUAUUGAGGUAAUCCAUCCCUUUCUCACCAAGAGGUAAUCCAUCCCUUUCUCACCAAUACCUAUUAUGAUCUAUUAUUGCACGGAUCUAAUAGUUGGGUUAUCCUUGAUAUUUUAUCAAUCGUGGAUUUAGUGAACUAUGCUCCGCCCCUUGU
Molecule: long non-coding RNA, 211 nt
Filed under: Panicum hallii
Lineage: Eukaryota; Viridiplantae; Streptophyta; Magnoliopsida; Poales; Poaceae
Description: long non-coding RNA (PHAL_LNC000909)
Source: RNAcentral